This 64-nucleotide microRNA precursor is filed under the name Ciona intestinalis (vase tunicate). Its description in RNAcentral is "microRNA cin-mir-4196 precursor". Lineage: Eukaryota; Metazoa; Chordata; Ascidiacea; Phlebobranchia; Cionidae. The record is from miRBase by way of RNAcentral.
ACUCCAAAACAGAGCACAGCGGGACUACACAUGCUCGUAGUCCCGCGGGGUUCCUUUUUCGAGU